UCAUAUUUUACCACUAAAAGUUUUGAACGGUUGAACUAUUAUCGUAACGGUGGGUUUAUGAAUGAAAUUUUGUGCAUCUUCUUUGUUUUUACUUUGUGAUAAGUUUUACCGAUAGGUAAUUCAGUUGGGAGAAAUUUAAAAAUAGCCAGAUUUAUAAGUGGUCGUUCAAAAAUAGCCGAAUUUUAAAUGUAAUCGAAAAUUAGUCACUUUUUUUUGUAAAGAUAAAUCUGAACGAAAAUACUGUUCAAAAUACAAAAAAUACUCCAACAUAAUAUACCUGAGUUCCAGUAUAUUAUACUGGGAGUGUGGUACAUCGGUGCUCCAGUCUCCAAUAUAUUUUACUGGAACCAGUAAAGUAUACCCGUCCAGCAUAAUAUGCUGAAAGUUCAUACACGGGUGCACCGAACUCCAGUAUAUUAUGCUGG
RNAcentral lists this long non-coding RNA (425 nucleotides) under Nicotiana benthamiana. RNAcentral's name for it is "long non-coding RNA (NBEN_LNC002834)". Lineage: Eukaryota; Viridiplantae; Streptophyta; Magnoliopsida; Solanales; Solanaceae. The record is from RNAcentral.